This 505-nucleotide ribosomal RNA is filed under the name uncultured bacterium. RNAcentral's name for it is "partial 16S ribosomal RNA". It matches the Rfam family "Bacterial small subunit ribosomal RNA", at positions 28 to 507 of the family's 1533-position model. The record is from RNAcentral.
GACGAACGCUGGCGGCGUGCCUAAUACAUGCAAGUAGAACGCACAGUUUAUACCGUAGCUUGCUACACCAUAGACUGUGAGUUGCGAACGGGUGAGUAACGCGUAGGUAACCUGCCUGGUAGCGGGGGAUAACUAUUGGAAACGAUAGCUAAUACCGCAUAAUAUUAAUUAUUGCAUGAUAAUUAAUUGAAAGGUGCAAUUGCACCACUACCAGAUGGACCUGCGUUGUAUUAGCUAGUAGGUGAGGUAACGGCUCACCUAGGCGACGAUACAUAGCCGACCUGGAAAGGUGAUCGGCCACACUGGGACUGAGACACGGCCCAGACUCCUACGGGAGGCAGCAGUAGGGAAUCUUCGGCAAUGGACGAAAGUCUGACCGAGCAACGCCGCGUGAGUGAAGAAGGGUUUCGGAUCGUAAAGCUCUGUUGUAAGAGAAGAAAGGGUGUGAGAGUGGAAAGUUCACACUGUGACGGUAUCUUACCAGAAAGGGACGGCUAACUACGUG